ACCCGCUGAACUUAAGCAUAUCAGUAAGCGGAGGAAAAGAAAUCAACAGAGAUUGCCUUAGUAGGGGCGACUGAACAGGCAAAAGCCCAAUAUUAAAAUCGUUGUCCUUCGGAUAACGAGUUGUAAUCUUGAGUGGUAAACAAAUACGAGUCUAUCGCAUAACUUUCUCUGGAACGAGAGGACAAAGAGGGUGAAAUCCCCGUAGUUGGCGAAAUGACCAAGUUGACUGUUACCAUCACAGAGUCGAGCUUCCUGGGAUUGAAGCUCAAAUAGGGAGAUAAACUUCUUCCAAGGCUAAAUACUGAUGAGAAUCCGAUAGCGAACAAGUACUGUGAAGGAAAGAUGAAAAGAGCUUUGAAAAGAGGGUUAAAAGACUUGAAACCGUUGAGAAGGAAGCGUUAGAAGCUGGCUAAUUCGCUAAACAGAGGAUCUCUAAGGUAAGCCGGAGACACUUAACAGGUCGAAGGUUCUAUUUGAGGUUACUUACUUAGCGAAAAGGCAAGAUGAGGUGCCGCACUCCGAAUAGCUGUAAAGCGAAGGAAAGCGACGCCUGAGGGAAGUAAUUGAUCUUGCCAAAACGGCUUUUACCGACCCGUCUUGAAACACGG
RNAcentral lists this ribosomal RNA (608 nucleotides) under uncultured fungus. RNAcentral describes it as "LSU rRNA". It matches the Rfam family "Eukaryotic large subunit ribosomal RNA", at positions 23 to 664 of the family's 3401-position model. The record is from RNAcentral. Lineage: Eukaryota; Fungi.